GACGAACGCUGGCGGCGUGCCUAAUACAUGCAAGUCGAACGCAGUGGGGACGGGUGAGUAACACGUGGGUAACCUCCCAUCAGAGGGGAUAACACUUGGAAACAGGUGCUAAACCGAUACUGUUGGAUGGACCCGGGGUGCAUUAGCUAGUUGGUGAGGUAACGGCUCACCAAGGCCACGAUGCAUAGGCGACCGGGGAGGGCGAUCGGCACCACAGGUGCGAAAAGACGGCGCAGACUCCGACGGGAAGCAGCAGUAGGGAUUCGACGGCAAUGGACGACAGGCUGACCGAACGACGCGUCGUGAGUGAAGGAGGUUUUCGGAUCGUAAAACUCUGGUGGUAGAGAAGCGGUAUCUAACCAGAAAGCCGCGGCCAACGACGUGCCAGCCGCGGUAAUUC
Molecule: ribosomal RNA, 400 nt
Filed under: uncultured bacterium
Lineage: Bacteria
Description: partial 16S ribosomal RNA
Rfam family: Bacterial small subunit ribosomal RNA
Source: RNAcentral